UGAAAGUUUUAUCCUGGCUUCGUGCUUCUUUUACUAAAUUUUAUAUAUGCAUUUUUUUGGGUUAGAUUUUAAUAGGGUAAUAUGUUAUUGUAUUAAUUGUGUUACUUAUUUGUGAAUAUGUUUUUGCAAUAUAUAAUUUUAUAUUUUAGUGUAAUCUAGAUUAUAGAAAUUUAGGUGAUAAAAGUCCGGCUAAAAACGUGCCAGCUGCCGCGGUUAGACGGGGGGACUAAAAGAAGGGAAAAAGAAUCUUGUAAGUUGGUUUAAUUGUAGUAUUUAGUGAAUUAUUUGAUAGUAAUAUUUUAUCAUUUGGGUGAAAUCUUUGAUAAUUUAUUUGGUCUAUAAUGUUAAUAUUAGUCUAUGAAAAUAUUAGUAUAAACUAGGAUUAGAUACCCUAUUAUUAAUAUUUUGAAUUUAAGCUUGGGUAGUAUUUGAUAUAUUCUUGAAACCCAAAGGAUUUGGCGGUGCUUUAAUCUCUCCAGAGGAACCUGUUUCGUAAUCGAUAUUCCACGCUUUAAUUUACCUAUAUGUAGUAUAUUCAGCUUGUAUACCGCCGUUAAUUGGAGUAAAUUUAUAAGUUUGCUUUUUAUCUAUAAUGGGAUAUAUUUCAGGUCAAGGUGCAGCUAAUCUUUAGGGGUUAUAAUGGGUUACAUUAUAUUGUAUUCGGGAUGUUAGUUUAAAUUGGGCAUUAAGUUGGAUUUGGUUGUAAUUUUGUUUUAGAAAAACAUUAUGAUGUUGGCUCUAUAGCAUGCACACAUCGCCCGUCACUCUCAUUUAUUUAGAUGAGAUAAGUCGUAACAUAGUAGGCGUAUCGGAAGAUGUGCCUAGUUAGUAGAAUUUUAUUAG
Molecule: non-coding RNA, 843 nt
Filed under: Neoasterolepisma foreli
Lineage: Eukaryota; Metazoa; Arthropoda; Insecta; Zygentoma; Lepismatidae
Source: RNAcentral